CGGCGUGCUUAACACAUGCAAGUCGAACGAUGAAGGUGGGAGCUUGCUCCUACUGGAUUAGUGGCGAACGGGUGAGUAACACGUGAGCAAUCUGCCCCUGACUCUGGGAUAAGCGUUGGAAACGACGUCUAAUACCGGAUACGAGCUGGGACCGCAUGGUCACCAGCUGGAAAGAACUUUGGUCAGGGAUGAGCUCGCGGCCUAUCAGCUUGUUGGUGAGGUAAUGGCUCACCAAGGCGACGACGGGUAGCCGGCCUGAGAGGGUGACCGGCCACACUGGGACUGAGACACGGCCCAGACUCCUACGGGAGGCAGCAGUGGGGAAUAUUGCACAAUGGGCGCAAGCCUGAUGCAGCAACGCCGCGUGAGGGACGAAGGCCUUCGGGUUGUAAACCUCUUUUAGCAGGGAAGAAGCGAAAGUGACGGUACCUGCAGAAAAAGCGCCGGCUAACUACG
This 456-nucleotide ribosomal RNA is filed under the name uncultured Microbacterium sp. RNAcentral describes it as "bacterial SSU rRNA". It matches the Rfam family "Bacterial small subunit ribosomal RNA", at positions 40 to 505 of the family's 1533-position model. The record is from RNAcentral. Lineage: Bacteria; Bacillati; Actinomycetota; Actinomycetes; Micrococcales; Microbacteriaceae.